UGAGGAAUAUUGGUCAAUGGGCGAGAGCCUGAACCAGCCAAGUCGCGUGAGGGAAGACGGUCCUAUGGAUUGUAAACCUCUUUUGCCGGGGAGCAAAGAGCGGCACGUGUGCCGCGCCGAGAGUACCCGGAGAAAAAGCAUCGGCUAACUCCGUGCCAGCAGCCGCGGUAAUACGGAGGAUGCGAGCGUUAUCCGGAUUUAUUGGGUUUAAAGGGUGCGCAGGCGGCGCGUUAAGUCAGCGGUAAAAGUUUCGGGGCUUAACCCGCACGAGCCGUUGAAACUGGCGUGCUAGAGUGGGCGAGAAGUAUGCGGAAUGCGUGGUGUAGCGGUGAAAUGCAUAGAUAUCACGCAGAACUCCGAUUGCGAAGGCAGCAUACCGGCGCCCCAACUGACGCUCAUUGCACGAAAGCGUGGGUAUCGAACAGGAUUAGAUACC
RNAcentral lists this ribosomal RNA (436 nucleotides) under uncultured bacterium. RNAcentral's name for it is "bacterial SSU rRNA". It matches the Rfam family "Bacterial small subunit ribosomal RNA", at positions 355 to 786 of the family's 1533-position model. The record is from RNAcentral.